Long non-coding RNA from Hemiscyllium ocellatum (epaulette shark), 793 nucleotides. RefSeq lists it as uncharacterized. NCBI's taxonomy places the organism in Eukaryota, Metazoa, Chordata, Chondrichthyes, Orectolobiformes, Hemiscylliidae. The record is from RefSeq and is a predicted model, not a curated record. The transcript has 3 exons.
AGGCUAUCACUGGCUCGGCCAGCAUUUAUUGCUGCGUUUACCCAGUGGGCAGUUAAGAAUCAACCACGUUGCUAUAGGUCUGGAGUCCCAUGCAGACCAGACCAGAUCCCAGUGAUCAGUGCCAAAGCCCCAUUGCCUGUGGAGAGGGUGAUGUUUGAUUUCCCUGUCCAGCUGCAAUUCGUGUGGUGAAGGUGCUCCCACAAUGUGGUUGGAUAACAAGACCGAUGCUGUUUCCAAUCAUGAUCAGAAACAAACCUCAGAAUACACAUGGUUCAUAGAUGGAUGUCAAUAGCCCAUCAACAUCCAACUCCUGCAAUUAUUCAGCAAAUGUAUGUGUGAUUAACCAGUCCUGAUGUCAGUCCUGAUGUACCAGAAAAUCGCUGUUUACUCUGUGCAGAUGGGCAGUGAUGUGGGGAAGUAUUGGCCGAGUGAUAUUGUCGCUGGACAGUUAGUCCAAAGCCCCAGAUAAACUUCUGGAGACCUGAGUUCAAAGCCUACUGCUGCAGAUGGGUGAAUUUGAAUUAAAUUUUUAAAAACUCGGGAAUUUAAGAGUCUCAUGAUGACCAUUAAUCGAUUUUCCGAAAAACCCAUCUGGAUCACUAAUGCCCUUUCAGGAAGGAAGCUGCCAUCCUUACCUGGUCUGGCCUACAUUGUGACUUCAGACCCACAACAAUGUGGUCGACUCUUACCUGCCCCCUGGGCAAUUAGGGAUGGGCAGGAAAUGCUGCCGGGCCAGCGACACCCUCAUCUUGUGAAUGAAUAAAGGAAAAUAAAAGUCUCUACCCAGUGUGAA